UGCUGCAGAUCAAACUCAGCCUCAGAGUGUGCUAGGCAAAUGCCUUAACAAAUGCCCAGGGCCCUGAACUCCUCAACUAUGAUCUUCUGAUAAGGAUGUUCCACAUUCCACACUACAGAGGACAACAGCCCCUUCCAGCAGCUGCUUCGCCUCUUCUUGCUUAUCCCGCCUUUUGGGAUGUUACCCAGAGCACCGUGUUCUUUUUCAGAAGUUACAACAACCACCGAUCUCCUUUAAAAUUUUCCCCUAAGAGCUUCCAAGACCAACAGUCCACUGUGGCACAUGUGAUGUAAGUUCACCACCGCUGCUCUACAUAUUACUCAAUGGCUACUUGGAUGAAAA
Molecule: long non-coding RNA, 342 nt
Filed under: Cavia porcellus (domestic guinea pig)
Lineage: Eukaryota; Metazoa; Chordata; Mammalia; Rodentia; Caviidae
Description: lncRNA (ENSCPOG00000039627.1)
Source: RNAcentral